CGGGAGGGCGUUUACCACGGUGUGGUUCAUGACUGGGGUGAAGUCGUAACAAGGUAGCCCUAGGGGAACCUGGGGCUGGAUCACCUCCUUACCUAAAGA
RNAcentral lists this ribosomal RNA (99 nucleotides) under Photobacterium phosphoreum. RNAcentral's name for it is "partial 16S ribosomal RNA". It matches the Rfam family "Bacterial small subunit ribosomal RNA", at positions 1443 to 1533 of the family's 1533-position model. RNAcentral also lists the same sequence under 2 other names. Lineage: Bacteria; Pseudomonadati; Pseudomonadota; Gammaproteobacteria; Vibrionales; Vibrionaceae. The record is from RNAcentral.